UUGUCUUUCGACAUUGUCUUUCUUCAUUCAGUCGUGGUAGUGUGGAGGUACAGUGUGUGGCGUUGAUGGUGUGAGGAUGAGUUGGUGACUAAGGCGGCUCGUUGAUUGAUUUUUGGUACGGUUGGAGCUUCUUUUGAGUGAUUCUCAUGGAAGGGUGUUGGUGGACGGUGAUUGGGGAUUUUAUUACGACUGCCGUGGAGUAGAGAGGGUGUUCCCGCUACUUUGUUGCGUUGAGGGAUUGCAGUAAGGGCCCUAGAAGUUGUUUGGGUAAGGAGAUUGCUUUUAUUGAAAUGAAGAUGGUUGCAGUUGCUAUACUUUGGAGGUUUUAGAUAAAGGUGGUUGAUGGUCAUCCUAUAACAGCAAGGGUCUCUAUGUUGCUUACCAUUGAACAAGGGUUGAAGGUGAAAGUUACCAAAAGAUGCACCUGAUAUCUAUAGAGAUCAUUUCAAAACCAAAUGAUAUACUUUUAGUUUCCGCUUUCUUUGUUACGGCUAAAUAAUGUUGUUAUCUUAUAAAAUUUUGAAUUUGAAGGAUUUUUUAACAAGUCUUACUCAC
This is a long non-coding RNA of Vigna radiata var. radiata (mung bean), 555 nucleotides long. RefSeq lists it as uncharacterized. Lineage: Eukaryota; Viridiplantae; Streptophyta; Magnoliopsida; Fabales; Fabaceae. The record is from RefSeq and is a predicted model, not a curated record. The transcript has 2 exons.